RNAcentral lists this ribosomal RNA (240 nucleotides) under uncultured bacterium. Its description in RNAcentral is "partial 16S ribosomal RNA". It matches the Rfam family "Bacterial small subunit ribosomal RNA", at positions 96 to 334 of the family's 1533-position model. The record is from RNAcentral.
UGGCGAACGGGUGAGUAACGCGUGAGGAACCUGCCUCAAAGAGGGGGACAACAGUUGGAAACGACUGCUAAUACCGCAUAAGCCCACGGGUCGGCAUCGACCUGAGGGAAAAGGAGCAAUCCGCUUUGAGAUGGCCUCGCGUCCGAUUAGCUAGUCGGUGAGGUAACGGCCCACCAAGGCGACGAUCGGUAGCCGGACUGAGAGGUUGAACGGCCACAUUGGGACUGAGACACGGCCCAG